UGGGGAAUUUUGGACAAUGGGCGAAAGCCUGAUCCAGCAAUGCCGCGUGUGUGAAGAAGGCCUUCGGGUUGUAAAGCACUUUUGUCCGGAAAGAAAUCCUUGGCUCUAAUACAGUCGGGGGAUGACGGUACCGGAAGAAUAAGCACCGGCUAACUACGUGCCAGCAGCCGCGGUAAUACGUAGGGUGCAAGCGUUAAUCGGAAUUACUGGGCGUAAAGCGUGCGCAGGCGGUUUGCUAAGACCGAUGUGAAAUCCCCGGGCUCAACCUGGGAACUGCAUUGGUGACUGGCAGGCUAGAGUAUGGCAGAGGGGGGUAGAAUUCCACGUGUAGCAGUGAAAUGCGUAGAGAUGUGGAGGAAUACCGAUGGCGAAGGCAGCCCCCUGGGCCAAUACUGACGCUCAUGCACGAAAGCGAUGGGGAGCAAACGAGGAUUCAGAUACCCUGGUAGUCCAGCGCCCUAAACGAUGUACAACUAGUUGUUGGGGAUUGCAAUUUCCUUAGUAACGUAGCUAACGCGUGAAGUUGACCGCCUGGGGAGUACGGUCGCAAGAUUAAAACUCAAAUGAAUUGACGGGGUCAUAGCUGUUUCCU
RNAcentral lists this ribosomal RNA (592 nucleotides) under uncultured bacterium. RNAcentral's name for it is "partial 16S ribosomal RNA". It matches the Rfam family "Bacterial small subunit ribosomal RNA", at positions 355 to 1375 of the family's 1533-position model. The record is from RNAcentral.